UCAGCUUCAAACUGUCUUCGGACUGUCUCUUGAGGCAACAAAAUCUCUAUUGAUCGACCUCAAAUCAGGUAGGACUACCCGCUGAACUUAAGCAUAUCAAUAAGCGGAGGAAAAGAAACUAACAAGGAUUCCCCUAGUAACUGCGAGUGAAGAGGGAAGAGCUCAAAUUUAAAAUCUGUCGGUCUUUGGCUGACUGAGUUGUAAAUUAGAGAAGUGCUAUCAAUGCUGGCCUGUGCAAAAGUCUCUUGGAAAAGAGCAUCAUAGAGGGUGACAAUCCCGUCUUUGGUACAGAUCUCCAGUGUUUCCAUGAUGCGCUCUCGAUGAGUCGAGUUGUUUGGGAAUGCAGCUCUAAAUGGGUGGUAAAUUCCAUCUAAAGCUAAAUAUUGGCGAGAAACCGAUAGCGCACAAGUACCGUGAGGGAAAGAUGAAAAGAACUUUGAAAAGAGAGUUAAACAGUACGUGAAAUUGUUGAAAGGGAAACGCUUGAAGUCAGUCGCGUUCUUCAGAAAUCAACCUGACUUUGGUCUGGCUUACUUUCUGUUGGAUGGGUCAGCAUCAAUUUUGAUCAUUGGAUAAAGGCCUUGGGAAAGUGGCAUCUCUGGAUGUGUUAUAGCCCUUGGAUCACAUACAAUGGUUGGGAUUGAGGAACUCAGUGUGAAUUUGGAGCUUUGCUCACAACACGCACUUAGGAUGCUGGCAUAAUGGCUUUAAUCGAC
This 716-nucleotide ribosomal RNA is filed under the name uncultured fungus. RNAcentral describes it as "eukaryotic LSU rRNA". It matches the Rfam family "Eukaryotic large subunit ribosomal RNA", at positions 1 to 648 of the family's 3401-position model. Lineage: Eukaryota; Fungi. The record is from RNAcentral.